GACGAACGCUGGCGGCGUGCUUAACACAUGCAAGUCGAACGGAAAGGCCCUGCUUUUGUGGGGUGCUCGAGUGGCGAACGGGUGAGUAACACGUGAGUAACCUGCCCUUGACUUUGGGAUAACUUCAGGAAACUGGGGCUAAUACCGGAUAGGAGCUCCUGCUGCAUGGUGGGGGUUGGAAAGUUUCGGCGGUUGGGGAUGGACUCGCGGCUUAUCAGCUUGUUGGUGGGGUAGUGGCUUACCAAGGCUUUGACGGGUAGCCGGCCUAAGAGGGUGACCGGCCACAUUGGGACUGAGAUACGGCCAAGACUCCUACGGGAGGCAGCAGUGGGGAAUAUUGCACAAUGGGCGGAAGCCUGAUGCAGCAACGCCGCGUGCGGGAUGACGGCCUUCGGGUUGUAAACCGCUUUCGCCUGUGACGAAGCGUGAGUGACGGUAAUGGGUAAAGAAGCACCGGCUAACUACGUG
This 468-nucleotide ribosomal RNA is filed under the name uncultured bacterium. RNAcentral describes it as "partial 16S ribosomal RNA". It matches the Rfam family "Bacterial small subunit ribosomal RNA", at positions 28 to 507 of the family's 1533-position model. The record is from RNAcentral.